UACGGAGGGAGCAAGCGUUACUCGGAAUUAUUGGGCGUAAAGGGCGCGUAGGCGAUUUGAAAAGUCUUGUGUGAAAGCCCCGAGCUUAACUCGGGAAGUGCACAAGAAACUGUUGAAUUUGAGUUCCGGAGAGGAAGGCAGAAUUCCCGGUGUAGCGGUGAAAUGCGUAGAUAUCGGGAGGAAUACCAGUGGCGAAGGCGGCCUUCUGGACGGAUACUGACGCUGAGGCGCGAAAGCCAAGGGGAGC
This 247-nucleotide ribosomal RNA is filed under the name uncultured bacterium. RNAcentral's name for it is "partial 16S ribosomal RNA". It matches the Rfam family "Bacterial small subunit ribosomal RNA", at positions 524 to 769 of the family's 1533-position model. The record is from RNAcentral.